Small nuclear RNA from Perognathus longimembris pacificus (Pacific pocket mouse), 107 nucleotides. NCBI's taxonomy places the organism in Eukaryota, Metazoa, Chordata, Mammalia, Rodentia, Heteromyidae. The record is from RefSeq and is a predicted model, not a curated record.
GUGCUGGCUUUGGCAGCACAUAUAUUAAAAUUGGAACGGUACAGAGAAGAUUAACAUGGCCCCUGCUCAAGGAUGACACGCAAAUUCGUGAAGCAUUUCAUACUAAA